This 506-nucleotide ribosomal RNA is filed under the name uncultured bacterium. RNAcentral describes it as "partial 16S ribosomal RNA". It matches the Rfam family "Bacterial small subunit ribosomal RNA", at positions 28 to 523 of the family's 1533-position model. The record is from RNAcentral.
GAUGAACGCUAGCUACAGGCUUAACACAUGCAAGUCGAGGGGUAACGAGAGGAGAGCUUGCUUUCCUUGUCGACGACCGGCGCACGGGUGAGUAACGCGUAUCCAACCUGCCCCCAACUAGGGAAUAACCUUGCGAAAGUAAGACUAAUACCCUAUAAUUUCCUCAGAUGUCAUCUGACGAGGAAUAAAGAUUUAUCGGUUGUGGAUGGGGAUGCGUCUGAUUAGCUUGUUGGCGGGGUAACGGCCCACCAAGGCAAAGAUCAGUAGGGGAUCUGAGAGGAAGGUCCCCCACAUUGGAACUGAGACACGGUCCAAACUCCUACGGGAGGCAGCAGUGAGGAAUAUUGGUCAAUGGGCGGAAGCUUGAACCAGCCAAGUAGCGUGCAGGAUGACGGCCCUAUGGGUUGUAGACUGCUUUUAUACAGGAAUAAAGUUAGCCACGUGUGGUUAUUUGUAGGUACUGUAUGAAUAAGGACCGGCUAAUUCCGUGCCAGCCGCCGCCGUAA